AGAGUCAAAGACAAGUAAUUAUCAAAGCAUUAUAAGCCUUUAAAAAAAGGGGGCUACAUUCCACAAAAGUCAUGUCAAUGCUAUCCACAACAAAUUGAUGAACCCAAUUUAUAUUGCAAAAAAUCAAAUGUCACUGUUGUCAUUUUAUAUCAUAUAGGGCAACCACUUCAACCUCCUUUUCAAAAUCCACUGACAUUCCUAAAUCUGGAGUUUAAUUAGCAUUUUAUCAGAAGUCGUUAAGAAACAGAAGAGAAGAAGAAGAGGGGAAAAUGGAAGACAGCAAAAUGACAUGCGUAGACAUUCUAUUGGCAAUCAUCUUGCCUCCCCUUGUUGCUUACCGCAAGUUCGGUUGCAAGGUUGAAUUCUUCAUCUGUAUUUUGCUGACUCUCCUUGGGUGGAUACCUGGUAUUCUCUAUGCCUUUUGGGCCCUCAACUCCUCACCAAAUGGUCUUCCUUUCCUAUGGUGGGUGUAUAAAGGCCCCAUUUAGACAUAAUACCCCUUCAAGUUUCAUGCUUAUACCUAUCGGCUCAUUGUGAAGCAGUCCAGAUAGAGAAAGAAUAAAGUGCCUAUGCUCUUCAAGAAAUUGCCCAUAGAGAGGAGAUUACUUCAAGACAGAACUUCUGCUUGUUCUUGUGUAUAUAAACUAGUGUCUAGAAUUCUUGUUACAUAUAUCACUUCUCUAUCCUUUUUUUACUUUAUUAAGGUUACUGUGAACAACUUGUGUAGGAAUGGAAAUGUCAUAUUGUAGUUUAAUGUUUGGAAGGUAAACUACGGCCAAGAGGUCACAACUUAAACUUAGUUGAAUUUUCCGUCUUCUCGUUAUUCACCCUAUAAGAAGCUCUGUUCCAAUA
Molecule: long non-coding RNA, 852 nt
Organism: Solanum tuberosum (potato)
Lineage: Eukaryota; Viridiplantae; Streptophyta; Magnoliopsida; Solanales; Solanaceae
Exons: 3
Source: RefSeq, a predicted model, not a curated record